GCCGCGUGAAUGAUGAAGGCCUUCGGGUCGUAAAGUUCUGUCCUUAGGGAAGAACCAUCAUGGUAGGUAAUGACCAUGGUCUGACGGUACCUAAGGAGGAAGCUCUGGCUAACUACGUGCCAGCAGCCGCGGUAAUACGUAGAGAGCAAGCGUUGUCCGGAAUCACUGGGCGUAAAGGGUACGCAGGCGGAUAUACAAGUCAAAUGUGAAAUGUACCGGCUCAACCGGUAAGCUGCAUUUGAAACUGUAUAUCUUGAGUCUAGGAGAGGAGAGCGGAAUUCCUGGUGUAGCGGUGGAAUGCGUAGAUAUCAGGAAGAACAUCAGUGGCGAAGGCGGCUCUCUGGCCUA
This 348-nucleotide ribosomal RNA is filed under the name uncultured bacterium. Its description in RNAcentral is "bacterial SSU rRNA". It matches the Rfam family "Bacterial small subunit ribosomal RNA", at positions 396 to 736 of the family's 1533-position model. The record is from RNAcentral.